This is a long non-coding RNA of Passer domesticus (house sparrow), 1718 nucleotides long. RefSeq lists it as uncharacterized. The transcript has 4 exons. The record is from RefSeq and is a predicted model, not a curated record. Lineage: Eukaryota; Metazoa; Chordata; Aves; Passeriformes; Passeridae.
AAGGAAGGAAGUGGCGGAAGGAAGGAAGUGGCGGAAGGAAGGAAGUGGCGGAAGGAAGGAAGUGGCGGAAGGAAGUGGCGGAAGGAAGUGGCGGAAGGAAGUGGCGGAAGGAAGGAAGGAAGUGGCGGAAGGAAGGAAGGAAGUGGCGGAAGGAAGGAAGUGGCGGAAGGAAGGAAGGAAGGAAGGAAGGAAGGAAGGAAGGAAGGAAGGAAGGAAGGAAGGAAGGAAGGAAGGAAGGAAGGAAGGAAGGAAGGAAGGAAGGAAGGAAGGAAGGAAGGAAGGAAGGAAGGAAGGAAGGAAGGAAGGAAGGAAGGAAGGAAGGAAGGAAGGAAGGAAGGAAGGAAUUAACUUUUCUGAACUGGGCAUAAUUUUCACCUUAAAAACAUAUUCCUUAUUUGACUCAUCAGUAUUCCUACAGCUGCCCAGCCCCUGAAAUUGGGCUGAAGACAUAUGGGAAGAAGAGAAAGAAUGUAAUACAGUCUCAUUCUGGUCCUCAGCCUUCACUCUGGAGUGCGGAGCAGACAUCACACAGGGUCAGAAUCCUGCAGGUUCCACAGGUUCAGCUCUGCACUCUACUCAGUGGCAUGUAAUGGGACUCUGGUGGGUUAGUGUGCCAAGACUGUGCAGCUUUGUCAUGCCUCACACUAUUUUGAACACCAGUUGUACAAAUAGCAUGCAAAUUCUCUCUUCACAGAUGCAUUGAACAGGAGGAGAUAACUGAAGCAGGUCUUGCUCCCCCUUCUGCCCUGGAUAUUUGUUCUCCUCCCCAGCUGGAAGAAUACAUCCCACUGCUCAGUGACAAUGCACGUGUAUAAAUCAUUGACCCGAAUACCAAGUCAGGUGUACUUGGCCACUCUUUAAGGAACAGAAUGCCUGGACUGUAAGAUAAGAAGUCCACAUGGCAGCUUUCCAAUUGUAUUUAUGCACUCCAACUAAUUGAGUCACAUAAAUAUUGCAAGCUCCUUGGGAUAAAAUUGUGCCAUCUUACUCAGAAGUUCAAGAUUGAAAUGACCCUAGUUAGUACUCUUAGCCACUAAUGUACCAAUUGCAAUAGUAGAUUCUGAAAAAUAGAUGGUGUAGGCACUGUUUUGAAGCAAAAAGUCCCUGCAUCAAGACCUGAGACUGACACAGUUUGACCUCAUCACAGCUGACCCUGUUUUGAGAAGAAGAUUGGACUAAGUGAUCUCCUGAAUUCCCCUGAAACAUGAAUUAUCCUAUGACAUUAUGAACUGUUACAUGCAUUGUUACUUUAUCUCUCCUGGCAACAGAACCAGAAAAAUAUAAUUUCUGCUGUAAAAUUUUUAUGCAUAGAUGUGUGUUUCAUAUAUAUAUGUGUAUAUAUAUAUAUAUAAAUGUAGAUGUACUAAUACUGGCCUCUUGCUAUUCUUACAGAUCUCUAAAAUGAAAUCAUGCCCUUUUCAAAGUUAUUUGGUACUUCUAGUCUCAUGGAAAUAAGUUUACUUUGUUUUAGUGAGGGAAACCAAAAUGAAACUCACUGAAAAUGUUGCUUUAAGAAGCCAGUCAAUGCAUUCAUGGGAAAAUAUUAUCCAUCCCUCAGCAGAAUAUUUUUAAUCUAUGAUUGUUGUUGCUGCUUUUUAGAGAGGUUCAGUUCUUCUAGGUCAUAUAUUUUUCAGUGAUAACAAGGGCUGCAAGGUGUAUUUUCAAUUUAGAUUCACAUUCUUACUCUAGCAUCAGUUAAAACAUUCAAACUCCCUCUU